Molecule: ribosomal RNA, 477 nt
Filed under: uncultured bacterium
Lineage: Bacteria
Description: bacterial SSU rRNA
Rfam family: Bacterial small subunit ribosomal RNA
Source: RNAcentral
UCAGUCGACUCCUACGGGGAGGCAGCAGUGGGGAAUAUUGCACAAUGGGGGAAACCCUGAUGCAGCCAUGCCGCGUGUGUGAAGAAGGCCUUCGGGUUGUAAAGCACUUUCAGUAGGGAGGAAGGUAGUGUAGUUAACACCUGCACUAUUUGACGUUACCUACAGAAGAAAGCACCGGCUAACUCCGUGCCAGCAGCCGCGGUAAUACGGAGGGUGCGAGCGUUAAUCGGAAUUACUGGGCGUAAAGCGCAUGCAGGCGGCCUGUUAAGUCAGAUGUGAAAGCCCGGGGCUUAACCUCGGAAUUGCAUUUGAAACUGGUAGGCUAGAGUCUUGUAGAGGGGGGUAGGAAUUUCAGGUGUAGCGGUGAAAUGCGUAGAGAUCUGAAGGAAUACCAGUGGCGAAGGCGGCCCCCUGGACAAAGACUGACGCUCAGAUGCGAAAGCGUGGGGAGCAAACAGGAUUAGAUACCCCUGGUAG